Triticum urartu is the source of this 764-nucleotide non-coding RNA. NCBI's taxonomy places the organism in Eukaryota, Viridiplantae, Streptophyta, Magnoliopsida, Poales, Poaceae. The record is from RefSeq and is a predicted model, not a curated record.
UGCAUUUGCAGAACACUUGCAUAAGCCCACUAGCCAAAACUUAAGCUAAAAUCAUCUCUUCUUGUAGUGGCAAGCAUAUGGGGGCUUGUUGCUUUGAGGCUUUCAGAUGAGGAGAUCCUACCCUUCAACUACAGCUCUUAUGUAACAGAGCUUGAGAAUGGUGCUGUGGAUAUAAAUAAGAGAGUACUAGGAAUGCCUGUCAGCUUAUCUCCCCUCCACAAGUCAAUCAAACAGCUCAAUAGAGCAGUGCUGAAAGUGGAUUCUGAACUUCAGGCUCUGCAAACAUGGAAAUUUUGGUCCCCGUGGCGAAACGACCGGUUGAGGGUAAGAGAUCUGAAUGACCGGCUGAUGAUGACCGAACGGGCAUUCACAGAGAGGGAAGGACUGUCUGGGAGACCAUGGUACAAACACAUGAUUUAUGGACCUUCACUGUACAACGAUUAUGGAGCGGAAGUGUAUCCAGGUGUGGAUGAUGCCAUUCAGACUGCAAAGAAAACAAAUACCUCCGAGUCCUGGCAAUCUGUACAGCAUGAGAUCCACAGGAUUGCUAGAGUCAUCAGCCAAGCCGCGUUAGUCCUAAGUGGAGGGUUGACAUGAAGCUUUUUCCUCUGCUGACUCAAUUAGCAGGGAGCGUACAGUCUGCAAAUGUUUCAUGCAUAAGCUAUAUCACCAUAACCACACAUGUAACUUUGAGAAAAUAACCAUAAAGUUGUCCAGAGAUGGUAUUUGGACAUUAUAUUUCAGUAAAUAAUCCUUUCAAUAUC